This is a long non-coding RNA of Triticum dicoccoides, 4189 nucleotides long. RefSeq lists it as uncharacterized. The record is from RefSeq and is a predicted model, not a curated record. The transcript has 4 exons. NCBI's taxonomy places the organism in Eukaryota, Viridiplantae, Streptophyta, Magnoliopsida, Poales, Poaceae.
CCCGAGCAUGCCACCGUCGUGCCCAUCGCCGAGCGCGCCGCCGCCGGCCACCUGCCUAGCGCCACCCCCCCUUCCCCAGCACACAUCGGCCGGCCACUGCCUCAGCACGCCGCCGUCGCCCCACUGCCCCAGCGCGCUGCCUCCAUGACCUCCCUCCCCCAGUGUGCCACCGCCUACCCCUGCCUCCGUGCGCCACCACCUACCUCCGAGCGCCGCGGAUCUUCGCGCACAACUGGCCACCGCUGCCUCCCGCGCCAACUAUGUCCUGAGACUAGCCAUGGUGGUGGAUCCAAGAUCCGCCGAGGGAAAAGGGGAGCCGCUGCUCCCUGUUGAUGGCCGGUCCUUGCCACGGGCCGCCGCACUCCCGACAUGUCCCGAGCACCAGCACCCCUAGAGGCUCGCUCCCCUGCACCCUUGAACCAGCGCCAUCCACCACUCGAGCAGGGUGGCAAUGGUGACAACAUCCAGCGGCCCUCGUCUGCCUCUGCUCGCCCUGCCUUCAUCACCGACCAACCGUGCAAAUCCAUGUAAAAUGAGUUCAGGAAGAGAGGAGCCCCAGCCGGAUACAAGAGGAGGACAUCGAUGGCUCUCGGCGGCCAUCGACGGGGACUUGAAUGCCCCAACCCUCAAAGCUCGCCUCAUCUUCUACAGGCAACAGGGGGCGUCUUCCCUCCUGGCGCCCGUAGGCCUAUCAGGCAGCCUCGGCUCGCCGUCGUCGGGAUCUGGCCAACACCGGCUCCUAGCGUUGGAUCCGUUAGUGCCGGAUCUCGCCGCUGCAGGAUGCGAGGAAGAGGAUGAGGUACAGCAUGCAACAACGAAAGAAGGUGCAGAGCCAUCAACUAGAUUUUGUUUGGUUAAAGAAGGUACAGGGUCGACGACUGUAUUUAGAUCAUAAUAGGAUCGGUUCGCGUUGGUGGCGCAGUAGUGCUGCGUAGGCAGCUGCUACCAAUCUUCACCAAGCUGGGUGAAGCCUUCAAGGUGAGAUGAUCGAUUGCUUUUUGUCCACUGUCACCCUAUUUAAGAUUACUGACCUGGUUCAUCUUAUUUCUCUUGUUGAUGCAAACCUGCUCACUUCACAAGCCACGCUCACAGCCACCAUCGUAAACUUCGUGGCUGGCCUGCUUAUCUUUACUGUAUUCUAAAUCGGAGGCAGUGCACGACCCAAUGUUUGACUUUGAACAUUGACACUGACGACGGACUCAAGCACCACCACAUUCUUGGUACAUAGACCGGCACCUCUAAGGGCUUACCCGAGAUGUUUUUUAGCCAUUUAACAACUGAUUUUGUCAUGGGAUAAAUUUUGAUGGAUAAGAUUUUAACAAGGUAUAGAGCAAUGUAGUCGAGAUGACACAGUUAUGCAAAAUGUGUAGACAGAAUUUGAGACAUUUACAUUGGCAGGUCUAUUCACUGAUUAUUUAUUUACUCUGUAUUCAUCAAAAUUUAUUUAUUUUGUACUACAUUGUAGAGUGCGAUUGACGCAAGCAGAGAUGGCCAUGAUGCUAGCUGAUAGCACUUGCUAACUGAAGAAGUUUGCAUACCUUUUCUCAAAUUAAAAAAAGAGUUUCUUACCAACUAAUGAGCCUACCAGUUAUAGGCCAAUUGCUCUAACUCAACUUUAGGUCGGUACUUUCCUGUAGAGUAUACCUCUGUAAUUCUCCAUCCAAGAUACUAAAGUUUAUGCUUCGCUGCUUGCACACACUGCAAUUCAAGGCAGAUCUAGAUUACAUCCCUAAGCAACCCACCUAUAUUGGUAAAUUUUUAUUGUGUUAUUUAAAUUAAAAAAAUUAAUGUACUCUGCUGGAGAAGUCACAAGCCAUAUUAAUUUCAGAAGAAAACAUUUCUAAUUAGUGGUUAAGGUCUUGUUGUGUCUAAAAUGAAAAUUCCAAACAAAAACAGAGGCACAAUUUGUAUUUAUACGAUGAAUAAUGGAAAUUUCAAUUGCUAAAUUUAACUAAGGUUUUUAGAAUAAAUUGUGGUCUCUGAGCUCGUCUCACGUAAUCCAUCAACUAAAUGUAUUAUAUUAGCAUGUCUAAUUCAUAAGUGCAACCAGCAAUUAGUUUAAUUUUCCCCUCAAAUAAAAACAAUUAGAGUUUUGUUUGAUUUAAAUUAACAAAGUGGCCUACACAUUAUUUAUAUGCACUAUAGUUAUUUUGUUCUCAAUGGCUUGAUUUGAACGCCGAAAUUUUAUUAUCCCUUAUUUCGUUGCAACGCACGGGCCCUUUUGCUAGUAUAUAUAUAUACUCUAUACAUAAAGAGAGAGUAUCACUAUUCUGAUUCCGGAAUCAGAAUAACUAUUUGGAUCAAGAUCAGCAUAGGGGCGAUCGGACUUUCCUGAGAUCCCCCGAUCGGUAAAACAAAAGAAAAAAAACCACCCACCCGCUAGCCACAACCCCUCCCCUAACCUCCCCCGAUCCCAUCUGGCCCCUCGCCCCGAUGUGCAUCGCCGCCGCAGCCUCCCUCCCUGCCCCGUGCCGCCACCGGGCCCCGGCCACCUCCCGCGCCGCUGCCGGGCCCCGGCCACCUCGCCCGCCGCCGGCUGGCCCCGGCCACCUACAACGCCGCCAUCUGGCCCCUCCCCUGCCGUAAUCCAGCCCGAGCGAGCCCAUCACCGAUUGCUUCUUGCCCCGCGGCGGAGCGCCGCCGCACACCCACCCACAACUACAACUCCCCCGCCCCGCCCACAUCGACCACACACGGUGCUCGGUCAUGGGGACAACUGAGCGGAGCUCGAGCUCUGGCUCCUCUCUCCUCUUGCGCGCCACCGGCCAUUGCACCUCGCCGCGGUACACUCGGCCAAGGGGGCAACCAAGCGGCGCCUGAGCUCCGGCUCCUUUCUCCUGUUGCACGGGCACCAGCCCUUGCCGCACGCCUUGGUGCACAUCCGCGCCCAUUGGCCCCUCUCUGCUGGCCCGCCAGCCACUACGGCGGCGCUCCGGCGACCUCUCCACUCCUGUCUGCGUGUUGCGGCAUGGACGAACACCUCCUCCCUUCUAAUGGCAAAAAUGGGGAAAGGAGCAGCUUCAGUUUAAAAAAUGCGGCAGCUUCAGUUCAGUUUGUAAGAAAGGAGCAAAAAAGAAAGGUUGCUGGGCUCGUUUGUGCACUAUGUGCAUAAAAAUGGGGAAAGUUAAACUUCAUUAUUAUUGCUUGCUCCUCCAGUGGCCGGAUCUCGCCACCAUGACCACUCAACUCGUGUUGUCGGCGACCUGCCAAAGCCUAAGCGACGACCUGUCCGAGGCCUAAGCAUGAACUUCAUGCUUGAAUCUUCUCCAAAUUGAUAUUGCCUGCAACGGGGAGGGGCAAGCCUGUAGUCCAGCACUAUGAAGGGAGGAACUGCUUCUACUUCUCUUCUGAAAUCUCAAUGCCAUGUCUUGAUUUUCAGAGGAACUUUUUGGUUUGUACCAACCAUUUAAGAUGGUAUCUCAUCUGAAUGUGGUAUGCAUGCAGGCCAGCGUUCUCAAGUGGCAGAGCGGAGCCGUUUGCCUAGCGGGUCGAGCAGGAGUUCAAUGUAUAUUACACAAGAAGAAAAAACAAACACUAGGUUGCAGAUGUUGUGUUUUGUGAUUGUCGUAGGCUGACAGCCAAGACGACGUCCUCCACAUUUCCUACCAGCUCCGCCCAAUCCCAGCACCGGCGCGACCCCAGUACGGCGCCUGAUUCCGCCAUCCCGCAUCCGCCUGCAUACGCCAGUGUGCCACCACUAACGACCUGCCCGACCCCCCUGGCCUCCUACAAACUGCUGCUGCUCCCUGUACUUUUUUGGAUGAAGUUAGCACCACUCGACCGAGAAACACGAUGACAGUGACACGCUGGGCGAAAUCGGAGAGAAGGCAAGGACGAGGCGGAGGAGUUCCUGAAGAUGGCCAAGGAGAAGACUGACGACGUUGCCGAGGGCGCAAAGGAGACAGUGCAGGAGACCAAGGAGGUGGUGCUCGGUGAGUCCGACGAUGACAUGGACAAGUUCAAGCAGCGGGUCGAGCAGGGGAGCUACGAUCAGAAAUAAGUGAGAGGGAGGUGUUCCCUUGGUGUAUGUUCGCGCGCAGUCAUGGCCUGCCCAAAGCCAUUAGCUCUGCAAUUUGUAUGUCAACCACUAGGCUUGGUAUCUGUAUGUGUAAUGUGAUCUUGAUACUAUACAACUUGCCACUUCCCGCAGAAUAAGUAAUAUUGAGCUUCUGAAUGUUUUUUCUUCUCG